RNAcentral lists this ribosomal RNA (255 nucleotides) under Triticum aestivum (bread wheat). Its description in RNAcentral is "partial small subunit ribosomal RNA". The record is from RNAcentral. Lineage: Eukaryota; Viridiplantae; Streptophyta; Magnoliopsida; Poales; Poaceae.
AUGAGGACACGCACUUCUGAGGACACGGUUCAAGAUUGGUGGCUGAAGACGAUCAACACGGGAGGGCAUAUCAAGAAAGCUAUUGGCUCUGUUCUGAUGAUUGUCAUGUGGGAAAUCUGGAAGGAGCGAAACGCGAGAGUUUUUCGCAACAUGGCUUCACCGACCACUAUUAUCACUGCCAAGAUCAAAGAGGAUGCCUAUCUUUAGGCGUUGGCGGAAGCCAAACACAUGAGUGCAAUUAUGUCACGAGAGUAG